Molecule: ribosomal RNA, 1807 nt
Filed under: human oral metagenome
Description: bacterial LSU rRNA
Rfam family: Bacterial large subunit ribosomal RNA
Source: RNAcentral
GCCAAUCAAACUCCGUGAUAGCUGGUUCUCUCCGAAAUGCAUUUAGGUGCAGCCUGUAUUUGAAGGUCUUGAAGAGGUAGAGCUCUGGAAAGGCUAGGGGGAUCGAGAGAUCUUACCAAACCUUACUAAACUUCGAAUGCUUCAAGGAAUAAUACAGAGUGGGACUAUGGGAGCAAGUUUCAUAGUCGAAAGGAUAACAGUCCAGACUUCUGAUUAAGGUCCCUAAAGUAAUGCUAAGUGGAAAAAGAGGUGUCUUUGCUUAUACAUCCAGGAGGUUUGCCUAGAAGCAGCAAUCCUUUAAAGAAAGCGUAAUAGCUCACUGGACUAGCGAAGAUGCGCUGAAGAUGUAACGGGGCUAAGCAUUAUACCGAAAUCGAAGACCAGUGUAGAAAUACACUGUGUGGUAGGAGAGUGUUCUUACAGGAUGAAGCUACACUGUGAGGUGUGGUCGACUAGUAAGAAGUAAAAAUGCUGACAUGAGUAACGCUUAUUGAUGAAAAUUCAAUAUAUCGAAACCCUAAGGAUUCCUACGCAACGUUCAUCGUCGUAGGGUUAGUCGGGACCUAAGGCGCAUCCUGAAAAGGAUGGUCGAUGGAUAACUGGUUAAUAUUCCAGUACUUAUUUAUAGAGUGAUGGGGUGACGCAUCGAGAUUUGUAAGAGCUUAUUAAGGAUUUGAGUCGAAAGAGUGAGGUUUUUAUGACGUUAGUCGUAAAGGUAGUUGCAGGAAAAUCCACAACUAUUGAUACUGAGCUUGAUCGGGAUUUAACUCCUCGGAGUUAGAAAUUCUUAUCGUUUUGGUGCCGAGAAAAACCUCUAAACUUAAUCUAUAGAUAACCCGUACCCAGAUCAGACACUUGUGGGGUGGUAGAGAAUACUAAGAUAAUCGAGAUAACUAAUGGGUAAGGAACUUGGCAAAUUAGCGGACGUACUUUCGAAAUAAGUCCUGUCCCGAGCAAUCGGGAUCGCAGCGAAAGAGAUGGGGGGAACUGUUUAUCAAAAACACAGCUCGCUGCUAACUCGUAAGAGGAUGUAUAGCGGGUGAUGCCUGUCCAAUGCCAGAAUGUUAUGCUCUCUUGUGCAAGCUCGAGGGUUAAGCACUGGUGAAUGACGGCCGUAACUAUGACGGUCCUAAGGUAGCGAAAUUCCUUGUCAGGUAAGUUCUGACGCGCAUGAAUGGCAUAAUCAUCCCCAUGCUGUCUUACCCUUAGACUCGGUGAAAUUACAUUCCCGGUAAAAAUGCCGGGUAGUCACAGUUAGACGGAAAGACCCUGUGAAGCUUUACUGUAGAUUGAUAUUGGACUGUAGCAUGUUUUGCUCAGUAUAGGUGGGAGGCUUUGAUGUUUCGACUUCGGUUGGGGCGGAGCCAAAAGUGAGAUACCACCCAAGAUAUGUAGCAAUUCUAAUCCCUAGGUUGGGAGACAGUUUCAGUUGGACAGUUUACCUGGGGCGGGUGCCUCCUAAAAAGUAGCGGAGGCGUGCAAAGGUUUGCUUACUACGGAUGGAAACCGUGGUGAAUGUGUAUUCGCAUAAGCAAGCUUGACUGUGAGACUGACAGGUCGAACAGAUACGAAAGUAGGCGAAAGUGAUCCGGAUCUUCCGAGUGGAAGGGGAUCCGCUCAACGGAUAAAAGUUACUCCGGGGAUAACAGGCUAAUGGAAUCUAAGCGUUCAUAGCGACGAUUCCGUUUGGCACCUCGAUGUCGACUCGUCGCAUCCUGGGGCUGUAGAAGGUCCCAAGGGUUGGGUUGUUCACCCAUUAAAGCGGUACGCGAGCUGGGUUCAGAACGUCGUGAGACAGUUCGGUCCC